UACGUAGGGGGCAAGCGUUAUCCGGAUUUACUGGGUGUAAAGGGGGCGCAGACGGCGAUGCAAGCCAGGAGUGAAAGCCCGGGGCCCAACCCCGGGACUGCUCUUGGAACUGCGUGGCUGGAGUGCAGGAGGGGCAGGCGGAAUUCCUAGUGUAGCGGUGAAAUGCGUAGAUAUUAGGAGGAACACCAGUGGCGAAGGCGGCCCGCUGGACGAUAACUGACGUUGAGGCUCGAAAGCGUGGGGAGCAAACAGG
RNAcentral lists this ribosomal RNA (253 nucleotides) under uncultured bacterium. RNAcentral's name for it is "partial 16S ribosomal RNA". It matches the Rfam family "Bacterial small subunit ribosomal RNA", at positions 524 to 776 of the family's 1533-position model. The record is from RNAcentral.